Molecule: long non-coding RNA, 760 nt
Organism: Lemur catta (Ring-tailed lemur)
Lineage: Eukaryota; Metazoa; Chordata; Mammalia; Primates; Lemuridae
Exons: 2
Source: RefSeq, a predicted model, not a curated record
CAAAGCAUGUUCUUUUGCUUUUCAGCCAUGGGGAACAGAUGACAGCUUUUCCAUAACAACUUCUUAUCAGUUGCCUUUCAUGAGGAACAAAUGCACGAUUUACAUAUUAAAUUUGCCUUUUUAACUUUUAGUGUAUUGCUUCAAAUCAGUGUCAUCAUAAAUGGUCACACAGUAUCAACAGGGCUGAGAAUAUCAUGUGGUUCCGUCUUUCAAAGGAAGUUAUAUAAUGAAAGCAUAGUGCCUUUGAACAUGAAAACUAUCCAAGGCCAGAAGUCCUAUAAAGGAACUGAAAGGUAAGAGAUUCCAGAGAAUUUCUCUCAUUUUUAAUAUGUAAAGUAACUAGUUUAAGUCACUUUAUUGAAGACUUACUGAAGAAAACAGCAUUCCUUAUUAUGCCAUUGAAUAAAGCUACUAAGACCACAAGAAUUUAGAGAUAUUGAUCUUAGCUACAUAAUUGAUGGGUCAUUAAAAAAGGACCUGUCACUUAGUUAUUAAGUAUAAGUUAACUUCCUAUGCCAAGUAAGGGUCACACUUCACUUCCCUCAUUUGUAAAAAGAUAAGGUGGCCUGGCCAGUGCCAUUCAGGAUUCUCUGCUAACUGUAAAAUGUGGACUAUUUUCUUCUGUUUCUUAUAGUCCAUGUGUAUAUAAACUUUCAGUUCUUUAAAUCAAAAUUUUUAUGCACAUAACCAUGUCAGUAUAUUUCCCUUAGUUUAAAAAUGUACAACUACAUAAAUAAAAACUAUUGUUUCUUCAGUAUUA